UUAUUGUUUAGUCGCUACUCGCUAUCGCAGGAGUCUAUACAUACUCUCAUCUACUGUACAGACAUUGUUCAAUAGCCCAGGCUUGUCUGAACAUUUUGUAGUUGUAGGCACAGAGGUGAGUCAGGAAGAGGAAGAAAGAGAGAGCCUAAGAGCAGUGGGAGUGGGAACAUGAUGGAAAACCCAACAUGUCUAUUUCCUCUGACCAUGGGGGAGAAAACAUUGGUGCUUUCCGAUGCCUCCCAUUCCUAUUGUUCUUAGGAGCUCCUUCCUCUUCCUUUUGGCUCACAUAGUUAUUUGAGGGAAAGCUAGAGAUUUCAAUAAACACAUUUGGAUGAUGCGAGCACAAAGGUGAGAUAGGAAAAGGAAGAAAUGAGGGCCUAAGAACAGUGGGCAUGGGAACAUGGAGGAAAGCUCAACCAAUGGUUAUCCCUUGGAGUCAAAGCAGGGGGAGGUCAUGCCCCAUCCAUGGAGGAAUUCUUAGGAAUUCAAAUCCAAAAGGUGACUCCAAUAUCGUGCAUAUAUAAACAGUCCUACCUGCAGGGCCCUGGCAACAUCUGCAGCUGCACCGCCAUCUACUACUCAUCCAACAAGGCCAAGCAACUGACUGUUUUGCUGAAUCAAGCCAGCUUGUGAGGUUGGUUUCUCUGAUGUUAUUCCGAUGGACACAUCCUUGUGGCCAGUGGUUUCUCCGCCCAUGUGGUCCACGCUGCUACUGCGAUACUUGUUUGGUUCCAACAUGAUUUUAUAGUUGGGCGCCGGCAGCUUCAGUUCUUUCUUUGGGUCAUGCUCAGUUCCUUGUUUAUUCCAUCACGAAUCUUGUAGUUCAACAAAUUGAUAUUCCAAAAGUGAUGAUUUCUCUCCACAUAUUGCUUGCUACUAUUGCACAUAUUUGUCACUCAUCGAUUUGUAUUUGACCUACUGGAUCUUUCUGCUAUUACCAUGUUGUUGAAA
This is a long non-coding RNA of Panicum virgatum (switchgrass), 951 nucleotides long. RefSeq lists it as uncharacterized. The record is from RefSeq and is a predicted model, not a curated record. Lineage: Eukaryota; Viridiplantae; Streptophyta; Magnoliopsida; Poales; Poaceae. The transcript is spliced from 2 exons.